UGUUGGAUCUACAAUUAAAGGCUAUUAUAUUACACACACUGAGACAACCAUAGCAGCAGCACACCUGAAUAACAGAGCGCUCCUGGGGACAGAAAUCAGCCCUCUUGUUUAUAAUGGAUCAAAGCUUCAGAAGAGCUGGUGUGCUGCAGAGAGAUUUGAGAGUGUUGAACCAGAAGGAGGAAAGAGAUCUCCAGCAGAAACUGAACAUGUUGGACAGACAGCACAAGUACACCUGCAAAAUGCUUCAGCAAAGAAGAGACUCGCUGAUAAAGGAACAGAGACGAGUGGUGAUGGUGAAAGUCUGCGAGCCUCAAGCGACAGUCAA
This is a long non-coding RNA of Centropristis striata (black sea bass), 325 nucleotides long. RefSeq lists it as uncharacterized. The record is from RefSeq and is a predicted model, not a curated record. The transcript is spliced from 3 exons. Lineage: Eukaryota; Metazoa; Chordata; Actinopteri; Perciformes; Serranidae.